This is a long non-coding RNA of Salvia splendens (bonfire salvia), 444 nucleotides long. RefSeq lists it as uncharacterized. The record is from RefSeq and is a predicted model, not a curated record. Lineage: Eukaryota; Viridiplantae; Streptophyta; Magnoliopsida; Lamiales; Lamiaceae. The transcript has 3 exons.
GAUUCCAAAUCAUAAAUUUUGGACAAUUUUCUUUGUUGAUAUCUCUUUGGUUUCAGGUUCUGUUUAAGCAUUUAAGUGUUGACCUCAAGGAUGUCACACCCUCUUCUCUUCUAAAGGAUGUAGUUUGACAAUUUGAAGGAUCAGUCAUUAAGCAUCAACUUGUUACUCACCUUAUGCCUGGGCAUUGCUUUACGAGCUAUUUCAGUUGCUCAUACUGAACCUGAUGUUGGCCAUAGUUCCAAUACUAAUCACCGACCCAGUCUUAUUCAAUCUUCUGCUCCACAGAUUGAGAUUGCAGGCCCACCAUUUUCUCUGAUCGGACCCGGCAGCAUAUUGUCUGGAUUAGCAAUUCCCUCUUUGAUCCCACUACAACAGAGACCACCAAGUUCUCUAGAUGAGAGUGGACUCCUAAUUUCAUGAAGCCAACACAAUACACCUACCCUU